This 102-nucleotide transfer RNA is filed under the name Auriscalpium vulgare. Its description in RNAcentral is "tRNA-Met". It matches the Rfam family "tRNA". Rfam says of the family: Transfer RNA (tRNA) molecules are approximately 80 nucleotides in length. Their secondary structure includes four short double-helical elements and three loops (D, anti-codon, and T loops). The record is from RNAcentral. Lineage: Eukaryota; Fungi; Basidiomycota; Agaricomycetes; Russulales; Auriscalpiaceae.
GCUUGGUUGGCUCAGCUGGUUAGAGCGCCGGUCUCAUACUUGUAUGAGUGAGCAGCUGCUUGCGUAAUCCGGAGAUCACCAGUUCGAUCCUGGUACCGAGCA